Molecule: ribosomal RNA, 222 nt
Filed under: Acanthamoeba sp.
Lineage: Eukaryota; Discosea; Longamoebia; Acanthamoebidae
Description: partial small subunit ribosomal RNA
Rfam family: Eukaryotic small subunit ribosomal RNA
Source: RNAcentral
GUUUUCAUUAAUCAAGAACGAAAGUUAGGGGAUCGAAGACGAUCAGAUACCGUCGUAGUCUUAACCAUAAACGAUGCCGACCAGCGAUUAGGAGACGUUGAAUACAAAACACCACCAUCGGCGCGGUCGUCCUUGGCGUCUGUCCCUUUCAACGGGGGCAUGGCGCGAGGGCGGUUUAGCCCGGUGGCACCGGUGAAUGACUCCCCUAGAGCCUUGUGAGAA